This 504-nucleotide ribosomal RNA is filed under the name uncultured Fluviicola sp. Its description in RNAcentral is "bacterial SSU rRNA". It matches the Rfam family "Bacterial small subunit ribosomal RNA", at positions 11 to 507 of the family's 1533-position model. Lineage: Bacteria; Pseudomonadati; Bacteroidota; Flavobacteriia; Flavobacteriales; Crocinitomicaceae. The record is from RNAcentral.
UUUUGAUCCUGGCUCAGGAUGAAACGCUAGCGGCAGGCCUAACACAUGCAAGUCAAGGGGCAGCACGAUUGAGCUUGCUUAAUUGGUGGCGACGGCGCACGGGUGCGUAACGCGUAUGCAACCUACCUUAUACUGGGGUAUAGCCCGGAGAAAUUCGGAUUAAUCCCCCAUAGUAUUAUCGAUUCGCAUGUUUUGAUAAUUAAAGGUUACGGUAUAAGAUGGGCAUGCGUCCCAUUAGCUAGAUGGUGAGGUAACGGCUCACCAUGGGCGACGAUGGGUAGGGGGCCUGAGAGGGUGGUCCCCCACACUGGUACUGAGACACGGACCAGACUCCUACGGGAGGCAGCAGUGAGGAAUAUUGGUCAAUGGGCGCAAGCCUGAACCAGCCAUGCCGCGUGCAGGAAGACGGUCCUAUGGAUUGUAAACUGCUUUUAUUUGGGAAUAAACCUCUUUACGUGUAGAGAGCUGAAGGUACCAAAUGAAUAAGCACCGGCUAACUCCGUG